Molecule: ribosomal RNA, 468 nt
Filed under: uncultured bacterium
Lineage: Bacteria
Description: partial 16S ribosomal RNA
Rfam family: Bacterial small subunit ribosomal RNA
Source: RNAcentral
GACGAACGCUGGCGGCGUGCUUAACACAUGCAAGUCGAACGGAAAGGCCCUGCUUUUGUGGGGUGCUCGAGUGGCGAACGGGUGAGUAACACGUGAGUAACCUGCCCUUGACUUUGGGAUAACUUCAGGAAACUGGGGCUAAUACCGGAUAGGAGCUCCUGCUGCAUGGUGGGGGUUGGAAAGUUUCGGCUGUUGGGGAUGGACUCGCGGCUUAUCAGCUUGUUGGUGGGGUAGUGGCUUACCAAGGCUUUGACGGGUAGCCGGCCUGAGAGGGUGACCGGCCUCAUUGGGACUGAGGUACGGCCCAGACUCCUACGGGAGGCAGCAGUGGGGAAUAUUGCACAAUGGGCGGAAGCCUGAUGCAGCAACGCCGCGUGCGGAAUGACGGCCUGCGGGGUGUAAACCGCUUUCGCCUGUGACGAAGCGUGAGUGACGGUAAUGGGUAAAGAAGCACCGGCUAACUACGUG